UAGAUCUUUAUUUUUAUAAUCUGUUACAUUUAUUUUUACAUAUUGAGCCAGAAAAGCUGCAUAUUGCUAUAGUAUUUUAGUACGAGCUUACAGCCCAGAUAGCUGCUUUUACAUAUUUUUAUUCUGCGGGGCCAGGAGGGCAUAUACCGUACUUCAUUCUGUUUGGCCAUAUUAAUGCAUUUUAAUUAUUAUCCUUCAUACCUUUCUGUUGCUGUGAUUUAUUAUUAUUAUUAUAUUUAUAUUAUACGCUUACAGCUCUAAUAGCUGCCAAUAUAUAUUUAUUUAUUCUGUCGGGACAGAAGGGGUAAAUGUCAAUUAAUUUUUGAGUUGUUUUUUCAAGUGUUUCUGUGAUUACUUUCUAUAUUUGAUACCAUUUCUAUUAAUAUUGUUUUUAUAAAUUGUCACCAGCAACACAGAUAGAUCAGUUUACCAUAUUUUUCACCUGUUGGUCCGAAUGGGCCGUAAUUUUAUAUUUGUAUAUUGUGGAUUGUUUGAAAUUUUUCGUUGCAGAGCAACCUACAAUCACCAGAAACCUUGUUAGCAUUUUUUAAUAGUUUUAAUUUUAAACACACCUACACUCAUAGGUACACACUUAUACACAAAUACACAUAUUACACAAUAACAUGCGCUAUGUAGCUCGACAGCAUUUUCCCGGAAAUCCUGACCACAACCGUUCGAGCUAUUACAUCACUACACACCGAUGAGCUAUAGUCCUCUAUAUUUUCAAGACUUAGGACUUAGUUUUUCGCAAAAUCAAGUUGGUGUCCGAUAUCACUACUCAUCCGAUCCUAACAAUAUCAGAGGAGUUACACAACAGCAGCAGCCACACUAGUCGACGACCGACACCCACCGACACUAUCUCACCCACAUCCAAGUGUCCCGACGAAUACAACGAGAUGAAUAAAUGUCUGAUGAUUCUGGCAGCUGUGUGCAUUUUGUUUGCGGUUGUUGGAUCGGCAUACGGCGGUUGUCCUGAAAAUUGCUGGGAUUUAUACAUUGGGGCAAUUUUUCGGUGUGUUUCUCCAAAAGCCACGAUUAUGUGUAAGAAGAAGUAUUCAAUUUUGGGCGAAUGUCGAUGCUGGUGUUGUUAGCUUGUCUUGCUCAUUUGGAGCAAGCUACGUUGUAAUGUAUGGAUGUGUUUAUUAUUAUUUUUUACUCCAACUCUGUAAUAAUAGUACUUAAUAUUAUGCCUAUGUUUGUUUUUCGGAUAUUCGACUCGAAUAAUAAACUUUGUUACUUUAUGAGUUGUGCUUUCUUUGUUAUUUUCUCAAUUAAAUCACAUGUAGGUACAUUAAAACUAUGUAACUAACUAUCAUUAUUGUACUUAAUAAUAAAAUUCUAUAAUAUAAUUAUACCCAUAUAAAGAAGAAAAAACUAAUUAUUAUAAUUGUACAUUUGUACUUAAUAAUCUGUAAUAUUAUAAUUAAUCAAUUAUUUUAAUUUUAAUUGUAUUAACUAUGAAAUAAUGUAAAACUAUUAACUCCAUUUGAUAAUAUUGUACACUGUAUGUUGUUGAACAAAAUGCAUGAUUAUUUUUUUUUUAAUUUGAAUUAUGUAUAACAUUAUAUGUACAUGUUGUAUCCAGUUAACUGAAAAAUUCGGAAUCAUAAUACAUUUAUGAGGAUAUCUAUUUUGUUUUUAGCUAAUGAACGUCAUUAAACACAACGUGUUUCUAAUGUUUCAAAUGUAUUAUUGUUUUUAAUAAAUUGAUGUACUCACAUAUAAUUAUUAUUUCAUAUUUUUGAUUUUACGGAAUGAAUUCCAUUUAAAAUAGGUAAUAUUGCUUUAUUUCAGUAUAACAAACAUAUUAUGUUGAUAGCAUGCUAACUUAUCAGUAUAAUUAAAGAUACAGUAUAAGAAAAACUACGACCAUAUAUUGGUGAACUCGAUUAGUGGAGUAGUGGAGCAACAGGUUUUAAAAUGUUCACGAUUUUUUAUAGAUUCACGAAUCGCAUUAUUAUUUCCAGAAAAGAGUAAACAUGUGUGCCGUUAGCAUAAUAAUAUGUUACAAUAAAUCCAUCAGUAUAGGUAGUCACCUAUAGCUUUUGAGUCAAUUUAAACUUGACGGAAUAACACUAAUAUUCGUUAAAAUGUAAAUUAGCUCUUUAUGAUUAAACGGUAUCAAAAGCUUUUGCUAAAUCAAGAAAAAUUGACAGCACCAAAACUAGGCCUAAAACCAAUUUAGAAAAGAGUUGGCAUUUAUCUAGGAAUAAUAUGAGCCUACUUUUGACAAUUAUUCCAAUAUUUUAGAAAGACUACUUAGCAUAGAAAUAUUGGUCUAUCCGACAGUAAUUUAAUAUUUUUGAAGUUAUUGAUAAUUCGAGAGCAUUUGGAUUUUUAUUAUUUUCAUUAAAAAAGCUAUUAAUAGAAUUUGCGGAGCAGUUCACCACAAAUUAAAAAAUGAUUCUUCAAAAUGUCGAGCUGAAGUAACACCGAUAUUUAUGAAAAGUAUAUUAAAUAUAUUAGUGAAGUAGUGUGAAUCACUUUUUAAAUUAAAAAUACUACCGAUUACCUACUACAAUUUAUUGUACUAAUAUCAUCAUUAAUAUAUUAUAGUAUAUAUUUGAGUCAUCUUUAAUUACCUUCUAUGAGAGUUUUGGAUUGAAUGAAACCCCAUUAAUUUUACUUAAUAAUAUUUAAUCUUUGAGGCUCGUAUAAUAAUUAAUAGCUGUUAAAUUAUUUUUAUAUUUAUUUUAAUAAAAACUAGUUAAAUAUUAUGAGGGUACUUAUGAACUUGCAGUGGUAAUUUUUUUUUAGGGCUUACCGAGUACAGUAGGCCAGAGCCCAAGGCGUCAUCCACUAUUGAAGCAAAUUUUUUGUUUGAAAUUUACAAUUGUUGUUGUUAGUUUUUCAAAAUAUGUGUGUCAUAACUUAAUCAAAAAAGAUAUUCAUACAAUCAUUUACGUCAUUACAAGUAAAUAUUCCAGCCCACACCUUAUUUUCAAAUAACUCGUUUAUAGAAUAUUAAAGUUAAUUAUUUUAAAACCAUUUUUAAAAAAUUGUUGUUUUUUUAAAUUUCUAUUGCCAACACACCUUUACAUUAUUAGUCUCUAAAUAUUCCCGAGCUGUCAAGGACAACGAACUCCGUAGCUACAAUUUUUUUUUCAAAAACUAAUUCUACGUCAAUAAUAAGCACGCACUUUUCCCUCUUCUCAUCCGCUACUUUUCCUAUAUAAAUAGAAGCUAUCUGCAGUCAGAGCUUUAGAGGUACUUCACUCAUCGUCUCAGCUGAGCUGUAUACCAACUGCACAAGUUCAGAUUUUGUCAGAACGCGAUAUUAACCAAGUCCAGCAAUCCCGAUCACUAUACAGAGCAAGAUGAAUAAAUGCCUAUUGAUUCUGGUAGUGGUGGCGUGUCUUUUGGGAAUGAUCGAAUUGGCGUACGGAGAUUGUCCAGGAAAUUGCUGGUACUACAGGUCGGAGGCAACCAAACAUUGUUCUUCUCCAACAGCGACCAAUGAGUGCAGCGGUUAUGACCUUUUUGGCCUAUGUCGAUGUUGGUGUUGUUAGACUUGUCUUGCUCGAUCGAUUCAUAAGUAUGCCAACAAUUGUAUAAUGCAUAGUUGUGGUUAUUUUAUUUUACCCGAAUUCGAUGAUAAUUAUAAUUAAUACUAUAUGCUCAUGUUUGUUUUACGAAUAACGGCUGUAAUAAUAAACCUUGUUAUUUUAUAAGUUUUUUUUUUUUUUUUUGGUUACUCUUACAAUCAAAUCACAAACAAUAUAAUACUAAAUAAAUAAAUAUUUUUUUUUCUUAAUGAUCAACUUCUGUAAUAUUCUGGCUAAUCAAUUAUUUUUAUUGUAAUUUUAUUGUUCAUAAAAUAAUGUGAAACUAUUAACACCAUUUGACAAUGUAAACAUUGUAAACUAUGUUGUUAAAAUAAUACAUGAAAAAUCAUUUACUUUGAUAAACAUGUAUCACAAGUAACAUGACGUAUAUGAUAAUGUCACAUGUUGUUUACAUUUUGUAUUUAGUCAAUUGAAAAAGUAGGUAUGCAAUACUUCAUAAAAACAUUUAUUUUGUUUUUACCUAAUAAAAAUAAACAUUGUAAAACAUA
Long non-coding RNA from Myzus persicae (green peach aphid), 4054 nucleotides. RefSeq lists it as uncharacterized. Lineage: Eukaryota; Metazoa; Arthropoda; Insecta; Hemiptera; Aphididae. The transcript is spliced from 3 exons. The record is from RefSeq and is a predicted model, not a curated record.